CAAAGGCACAGGCUGCUGGGGACGGGGCUUUAGGGCCCACCUUGGAUAAGGGCAGGAAAAACCUCAGGAAGACAAUGUUAUAGAGAGCUCAUUUUCACGAGCCUGGAGCUGUGCCCAUCUCUGUCUUUGGUGCCAGCACCAUGGAGGUACCCCCUCUUUGCUGGGUGACCGUCAGGACCCUCUGGAGCAUGUCCGAGGGCUCAAAAUACAAGAGGCUCCUCCAGUGAUGAACCAGCGCCAGCAUAUCCAGGUGCUGCCCAAGAUGAGGUAGAAACAACACAUCUGCCCAUCAGGAAAUAGCACAGUCUUUAGUUCUGGAUCCCGCUUACCUGAGGAUCCCACUUACCUACUUACAUAUCUGCC
Molecule: long non-coding RNA, 363 nt
Filed under: Homo sapiens (human)
Lineage: Eukaryota; Metazoa; Chordata; Mammalia; Primates; Hominidae
Description: HSALNT0245134
Source: RNAcentral